CCUCUCGCGUUAGGAUAUGCCCAGGUGGGAUUAGCUAGUUGGUGAGGUAAGGGCUCACCAAGGCGACGAUCCCUAGCUGGUCUGAGAGGAUGAUCAGCCACACUGGAACUGAGACACGGUCCAGACUCCUACGGGAGGCAGCAGUGGGGAAUAUUGCACAAUGGGCGCAAGCCUGAUGCAGCCAUGCCGCGUGUAUGAAGAAGGCCUUCGGGUUGUAAAGUACUUUCAGUCGUGAGGAAGGUAGUGUAGUUAAUAGCUGCAUUGCUUGACGUUAGCGACAGAAGAAGCACCGGCUAACUCCGUG
RNAcentral lists this ribosomal RNA (304 nucleotides) under uncultured Vibrio sp. RNAcentral describes it as "bacterial SSU rRNA". It matches the Rfam family "Bacterial small subunit ribosomal RNA", at positions 211 to 507 of the family's 1533-position model. Lineage: Bacteria; Pseudomonadati; Pseudomonadota; Gammaproteobacteria; Vibrionales; Vibrionaceae. The record is from RNAcentral.